UACGAAGGGGGCUAGCGUUGCUCGGAAUUACUGGGCGUAAAGCGCACGUAGGCGGCUUUGUAAGUUAGAGGUGAAAGCCUGGAGCUCAACUCCAGAAUUGCCUUUAAGACUGCAUCGCUUGAAUCCAGGAGAGGUGAGUGGAAUUCCGAGUGUAGAGGUGAAAUUCGUAGAUAUUCGGAAGAACACCAGUGGCGAAGGCGGCUCACUGGACUGGUAUUGACGCUGAGGUGCGAAAGCGUGGGGAGCAAACAGG
RNAcentral lists this ribosomal RNA (253 nucleotides) under uncultured bacterium. Its description in RNAcentral is "partial 16S ribosomal RNA". It matches the Rfam family "Bacterial small subunit ribosomal RNA", at positions 524 to 776 of the family's 1533-position model. The record is from RNAcentral.